CCCUUAGACGUUCUGGGCCGCACGCGCGCUACACUGACGAAGGCAACGAGCUUUCCUUUACCGAAAGGUACGGGUAAUCUUUUGAAACUUCGUCGUGCUGGGGAUAGAUCCUCGCAAUUAUUGAUCUUAAACGAGGAAUUCCUAGUAAGCGCAAGUCAUCAACUUGCGUUGAUUACGUCCCUGCCCUUUGUACACACCGCCCGUCGCUACUACCGAUUGAAUGGUUUAGUGAGGCCUUCGGAUCCGCGACUCGUUUUGUGGAGAAGUUGGACAAACUCAGUCAUUUAGAGGAAGUAAAAGUCGUAACA
RNAcentral lists this ribosomal RNA (308 nucleotides) under uncultured eukaryote. Its description in RNAcentral is "partial 18S ribosomal RNA". It matches the Rfam family "Eukaryotic small subunit ribosomal RNA", at positions 1470 to 1796 of the family's 1831-position model. The record is from RNAcentral.